RNAcentral lists this ribosomal RNA (808 nucleotides) under uncultured bacterium. Its description in RNAcentral is "bacterial SSU rRNA". It matches the Rfam family "Bacterial small subunit ribosomal RNA", at positions 56 to 865 of the family's 1533-position model. The record is from RNAcentral.
UGCAGUCGAACGAGAUUAAGGGGCUUGCUCCUUAUGAAAGUGGCGCACGGGUGCGUAACGCGUAUGCAACCUACCUUAAUCAGGGGGAUAGCCCGAAGAAAUUCGGAUUAAGACCGCAUAAAAACACAGGAUAGCAUUAUCCAAUGUUCAAAUAUUUAUAGGAUUAAGAUGGGCAUGCGUGUCAUUAGCUAGUUGGCGGGGUAACGGCCCACCAAGGCGACGAUGACUAGGGGAUCUGAGAGGAUGACCCCCCACACUGGUACUGAGACACGGACCAGACUCCUACGGGAGGCAGCAGUAAGGAAUAUUGGUCAAUGGAGGGAACUCUGAACCAGCCAUGCCGCGUGCAGGAAGACAGCCCUCUGGGUCGUAAACUGCUUUUAUUCGGGAAUAAACCUUAUUACGUGUAAUAAGCUGAAUGUACCGAAGGAAUAAGGAUCGGCUAACUCCGUGCCAGCAGCCGCGGUAAUACGGAGGAUCCAAGCGUUAUCCGGAUUUAUUGGGUUUAAAGGGUGCGUAGGCGGCUUAUUAAGUCAGGGGUGAAAGACGGUGGCUCAACCAUCGCAGUGCCCUUGAUACUGAUGAGCUUGAAUACACUAGAGGUAGGCGGAAUGUGACAAGUAGCGGUGAAAUGCAUAGAUAUGUCACAGAACACCGAUUGCGAAGGCAGCUUACUAUGGUGUGAUUGACGCUGAGGCACGAAAGCGUGGGGAUCAAACAGGAUUAGAUACCCUGGUAGUCCACGCCCUAAACGAUGAAUACUCGCUGUUAGCGAUAUACAGUUAGCGGCUAAGCGAAAGCGUUAAGU